ACUGCUCACAAUAUACCAAGAGUAUAAUGUCUUAACAUGACAUUCUUGCUUUUAUAUUCUGGUUAUUUCGAAAUGAAUGCUAACAUGGCAUUUGCCUUCCUCACCACCGACUCAACCGGCAAGUUAACCUUUAGGGAAUCCUGGACGAGGACCCCCAGGUCCCUUUGAAUGGCUGAUUCUUUCUGCACGCAAUGCAUCGAGUCAGAACACUUCCCGCAGUACAUCUGUGGCCAUUUGCUUGUUGACAGGCCAAACCUCUUCAGCCUCCUAAGAAAGUGGAGACGCCAGCACGUCUACCUUGUGAAGUUUGUUAUUUGGAUGUGAGUGUUUGGGAAAGAGGGUCCAGGAAUUGCUUCAUUUGGCGGAGAGAAGUCAGCGCAAAGAUCUUCAGUCAGAACACAAAGGAGAAAUCACUGAGCAGGUUAAAUUCCCUUGCGAGGUUCCUUUGUGUAAAACACCACCCCCCCCUGAAGCCCUCACUCCCUCCAUUCCUCUUCAGAAUCUCUUUCUCUCUCUCCACCUCAUGAUCAAAGCUUCACUGAGUUCUGAGACAUUGUUCUGAAGCCUGAACCAUUGAACCAGAACACAGACACUUAAGCUGUCACGCCAGACACAGUGCGCUUGGUUCCCACAGACCCAACAGCGCCCUGCCUCUCUCCCCAUAGAGGCCUACUAUGUGCAGAUAGGCCCCUCGGCCCACAAAGUCUGUGCUGACUGCAACCAUCAGGCUCCUGAACCAACAUGGAUCACUUCACUCACCCCAAUGGUGAAUCGAUCCCACAACCGACUCACUUUCAAGGCAGAGUUGCUAGCUCGACGCUCAGCCCGGCUUGGAUUCGAACUCAGGAACCUUCGCUCCGGAGUCCGGCACUGAUAUUAUUGCGCCACCAAGCUGGACAGGGACUACAACCAUAGGUCAUAGGUCCAUGGGAGCAGGUGGUGGAUGGUCGUGUGAGCAGCCGGUGCACAUCGCAAGUCCUAUCCGCGCGACCACUGACGCCAGGCAGACAAUCCCUGAAGAGUAUUGAUAACGGCUGGGGUCACCAGUCUGGUAGAGACACUGCACAGAAGAAGGCAAUGGCAAAUCACUUGUAUAGAAAAGUUUGCCAAGAACAAUCAUGGUCUCCAUGAUCACCUCCAUCAUACGACACAAGCACGUAAUGAUGAUGUCAUAUGACACGGCAUGCAAUGAUGAUGUCAUAUGACACGGCAUGUAAUGAUGAUGUCAUCUGACACAGCCCAUAAUGAAGCAAUGAUCAACAACAGCCAUCCUUGCUCAACCACAAACAAGAGAGAUUCUGCAGACACUGUAAAUCGGAGCAACACAUGCAAAAUGCUGGAGGAGCUCAGCAGGCCAGGGAGCAUCUAUGGAAAAGAGUACAGUCGAUGUUUUAGGCCUUGCACAAGCUAUUUUUCUAUUGCACUGGACUUGCCACCUGCCCUAGGACUGCUCCAGAUCUGGAUUUUUUUUCUCCUUGGGGGUUUUACUCCUGAAGCCUUCCCCAUGAGCGGGUAUAGUGGCAAGGCAGCGGGGGUUUGAGAUCAGAGUUUCCCUGCUCCUAGAUGGGCUGCCAACCACGGCCGACGAGCCCCAUCUGCCCGAAGCGACUGGUUUUUAAGGCACCGGUAUCCUGCCUUUGCCCCUUCUGUCAGUAGAAAUGUUUCUGAUGGGUUGAGUACCUAAGCCUCACGUGAGGCCAGGAACUGGACUUGGUUGUCAGAGGCUAUUUGAGAUGUGGGUGGGAGCUUAUCCCCACUAACGUACCGGCUAUGACAAGCUUAAGGAACCAUUACGAAAAAUUUUUGUAUUGAUCAUUAAAAAUUUAAGUUUACGUUGCUAUGUUUGA
Molecule: long non-coding RNA, 1847 nt
Organism: Hypanus sabinus (Atlantic stingray)
Lineage: Eukaryota; Metazoa; Chordata; Chondrichthyes; Myliobatiformes; Dasyatidae
Exons: 3
Source: RefSeq, a predicted model, not a curated record